This 73-nucleotide transfer RNA is filed under the name Dermatophagoides pteronyssinus (European house dust mite). RNAcentral describes it as "tRNA-Met". It matches the Rfam family "tRNA". From Rfam's summary of the family: Transfer RNA (tRNA) molecules are approximately 80 nucleotides in length. Lineage: Eukaryota; Metazoa; Arthropoda; Arachnida; Sarcoptiformes; Pyroglyphidae. The record is from Rfam by way of RNAcentral.
GCAACUGUGGCGCAGUCGGUAGCGCGCAGGUCUCAUAAUCCUGAAGUCGCGAGUUCGAGCCUCGCCAGUUGCA